Molecule: long non-coding RNA, 294 nt
Organism: Mastomys coucha (southern multimammate mouse)
Lineage: Eukaryota; Metazoa; Chordata; Mammalia; Rodentia; Muridae
Exons: 4
Source: RefSeq, a predicted model, not a curated record
GAUGGACAUGGAGAUGGUACAAUAAGCUAAGUGUAUGUCCUGUGGAGGGCAUGGGGAGCUAUCUCUUGACUAUUGUGACCAUUGACUGGUUGAUAAAUUCAAGUACAUGGCAAGCACCUGCGUGGCUCCUGUCACUAAACAUCACAGGAAUCAAUGCCUAGAGAGAUUAUUACUGAUCAAUCCAAGAAGACCAAGUUUUAAGAAGAAAAAUACAAAAAUGUUCCUGGAUAGCUGAACAAGGACAAUAGACAUGCCAAAUGGACAGCAGAAAGCCUAUGAGGCCUCAAGCAUACA